This 426-nucleotide unclassified non-coding RNA is filed under the name Melitaea cinxia (Glanville fritillary). RNAcentral's name for it is "misc RNA ENSMCXG00005009430.1". The record is from RNAcentral. Lineage: Eukaryota; Metazoa; Arthropoda; Insecta; Lepidoptera; Nymphalidae.
UUAAUGAUAAGAUUACGAGGUGACAGAAUUGAAUUUGUUUCUGCUUUGAUUACGGAAGCAAUUUUAAGUAACUGUCUUGUUUCAAUGUAUUUCAAUUUUGGGCUUUGUUUUAAUCUUAAAUGUUAGUAGAAUCAUAGAUUUUUAAAAUAACACGUACAUGUAAUUUAAAGAUAUGGCAAUGAUUUUUAAAUAUAGGUACAUUUUGAACAAGUCUAAUUAAAUAAAUGAAUUGUGAGAAUGAUAAAAACUAAAUUCUGCUGGUUAUUAUUUAAUUAUCACUGAGAGGCUGUCUGAAACAUAUGUCUGGCACAUGUCUGAUACAUAUUUCAAUACGCGUUUUUCUCAAAUUAACAUGGGUGAAAACCAGCUCGCAGCUAGUACAUAAUAUAUAAUUGAAGUGACUUAUUCUACUAUUUGAAAUAAACA